Molecule: ribosomal RNA, 235 nt
Filed under: uncultured bacterium
Lineage: Bacteria
Description: partial 16S ribosomal RNA
Rfam family: Bacterial small subunit ribosomal RNA
Source: RNAcentral
GACGAACGCUGGCGGCGCGCUUAACACAUGCAAGUCGAACGAGAAGCUGUAGCAAUACAGUUGUACAGUGGCGAACGGGUGAGGAAUACAUGGGUAACCUACCCUCGAGUGGGGAAUAACCAGACCGAAAGGCUGGCUAAAUACCGCGUACGCUUCCCAGUCUGCGGGUUGGGAAGAAAGCUCUACCGUGGGUAGAGCGCUCAAGGACGGGCUCAUGUCCUAUCAGCUUGUUGGA